CCUACGGGUGGCUGCAGUCGAGAAUCAUUCACAAUGGGGGAAACCCUGAUGGUGCGACGCCGCGUGGGGGAAUGAAGGUCUUCGGAUUGUAAACCCCUGUCAUGUGGGAGCAAAUUAAAAAGAUAGUAGCACAAGAGGAAGCGACGGCGAACUCUGUGGCAGCAGCCGCGGUAAUACGGAGGUCUCAAGCGUUAUUCGGAAUCACUGGGCGUAAAGCGUGCGUAGGCUGUUUAGUAAGUCGGGUGUGAAAGGCGAGGGCUUAACCCGCGAACGGCACAUGAUACUGCGAUACUAGAGUAAUGGAGGGGGAACCGGAAUUCUCGGUGUAGCGGUAAAAUGCGUAGAGAUCGAGAGGAACACUCGUGGCGAAGGCGAGUUCCUAGACAUUAACUGACGCUGAGGCGCGAAGGCCAGGGGAGCAAAAGGGAUUAGAUACCCCUGUAGUC
This 446-nucleotide ribosomal RNA is filed under the name uncultured bacterium. RNAcentral's name for it is "partial 16S ribosomal RNA". It matches the Rfam family "Bacterial small subunit ribosomal RNA", at positions 338 to 795 of the family's 1533-position model. The record is from RNAcentral.